UUCGAUAGUUUGAUCCUGGCUCAGGAUGAACGCUAGCGGCAGGCUUAACACAUGCAAGUCGAGGGGUAGAGAGUGCUUGCACUCUUGAGACCGGCGCACGGGUGCGUAACGCGUAUGCAAUCUACCUUUUACAGAGGGAUAGCCCAGAGAAAUUUGGAUUAAUACCUCAUAGUAUUAUUAAUUGGCAUCAAUUGAUAAUUAAAGCUGAGGCGGUAAAAGAUGAGCAUGCGUUCUAUUAGCUAGAUGGAGUGGUAACGGCACCCCAUGGCAACGAUAGAUAGGGGCCCUGAGAGGGGGAUCCCCCACACUGGUACUGAGACACGGACCAGACUCCUACGGGAGGCAGCAGUGAGGAAUAUUGGACAAUGGGCGAGAGCCUGAUCCAGCCAUGCCGCGUGCAGGAAGACGGUCCUAUGGAUUGUAAACUGCUUUUAUACGGGAAGAAACACCCCCUCGUGAGGGGGCUUGACGGUACCGUAAGAACAAGGAUCGGCUAACUCCGUGCCAGCAGCCGCGGUAAUACGGAGGAUCCAAGCGUUAUCCGGAAUCAUUGGGUUUAAAGGGUCCGUAGGUGGAUAAUUAAGUCAGAGGUGAAAUCCUGCAGCUCAACUGUAGAAUUGCCUUUGAUACUGGUUAUCUUGAAUUAUUAUGAAGUAGUUAGAAUAUGUAGUGUAGCGGUGAAAUGCAUAGAUAUUACAUAGAAUACCAAUUGCGAAGGCAGAUUACUAAUAAUUGAUUGACACUGAUGGACGAAAGCGUGGGGAGCGAACAGGAUUAGAUACCCUGGUAGUCCACGCCGUAAACGAUGGAUACUAGCUGUUCGGAGCAAUCUGAGUGGCUAAGCGAAAGUGAUAAGUUCCCACC
This 864-nucleotide ribosomal RNA is filed under the name uncultured bacterium. RNAcentral's name for it is "bacterial SSU rRNA". It matches the Rfam family "Bacterial small subunit ribosomal RNA", at positions 9 to 873 of the family's 1533-position model. The record is from RNAcentral.